RNAcentral lists this ribosomal RNA (1606 nucleotides) under human gut metagenome. Its description in RNAcentral is "bacterial LSU rRNA". The stretch from base 750 to 1595 matches the Rfam family "Bacterial large subunit ribosomal RNA", at positions 2049 to 2912 of the family's 2925-position model. The record is from RNAcentral.
AGCGGAGCGAGACUUUGUCAACAGCGCCAACAUGGCCAUGCACAUGGUUACUUCCCGAUGGAGGAGCUGGCCGGUAUCCGCGAAGCUGGGCUUUCCGUAACCGAGACAGCCCUGACACAUCCGUUGGAAUGGGAAUGUGCAGCGGAUGUGGCCGGAAUAACCGGAGGUUGGAAUUUGCCGCAGUUCGCGUCCGGAGACUGGCAGGUCGUGGCGUUGGAUACAAACAGUGAAAUACCGGCAAAAGGAAAUGGUGUGCAGCCGAAAGGAAGGCCGGACGGACUUUUCACCUGGUAUCGGGUUGAGUUUGAACUGCCGAAGCGGGAAGCCGGUGUCUGGAUUCCCUGGCUGGCGCGGAUAAAUGCGUCCGGCAAUGGGUUUAUGUGGUUGAACGGUCAUAACAUCGGCCGCCAUUGGGAAGCGGGUCCGCAGCGUGAGUUUUAUCUGCCGGAAUGUUGGCUCGAUUUCGGACCGGGGAAGAAAAAUGUACUGGUGAUGGGGUUGCGGCAAACUGCCAACGGUGCUAAGUUGAAGGCGGUGGAGAUUGCUCCUUACCGGGAUAUGGCGGAAAUCAGAAAGUAAAAACGAUUUGUAUUAUGAAUAUAAAAAUUUUUUUAGCGGGCUGCUUUUUCGGAAUGAGUGCUCUUUCGGUGGAGGCACAGCAAGUAUGGACGCCGGAUAAUGGCGACGGGACGUUUACCAAUCCUAUCAUGUGGGGCGACUGGCCCGAUCCGGAUGUGAUACGGGUAGGGGACGAUUUCUAUUUUGUCUCUACCAGUAUGCAUUAUGUACCUGGUUGCCCGAUUGCCAAAUCGAAAGACUUGGUGAACUGGGAGAUGGUCGGGAGGCACAGAUCCGGAGGCGCCAGCCCCCGGGGAGCCGCCCUUGGAAUACUGCCCUCGCGCGACCGGCGUCCUAACCCGAGGCCGUCGACCGGCUCGGGGACCGUGCCAGGCGGGCAGUUUGACUGGGGCGGUCGCCUCCUAAAGGGUAACGGAGGCGCGCGAAGGUCCGCUCGGGACGGUCGGCAACCGUCCUUUUGAAUGCAAGAGUACAAGCGGGCUUGACUGCGAGGCCCACAAGCCGAGCAGGUGCGAAAGCAGGCUCUAGUGAUCCGGCGGCCCCGAGUGGGUGGGCCGUCGCUCAACGGAUAAAAGGUACUCCGGGGAUAACAGGCUGAUCUUGCCCAAGAGUCCACAUCGACGGCAAGGUUUGGCACCUCGAUGUCGGCUCAUCGCAUCCUGGGGCUGAAGUCGGUCCCAAGGGUUGGGCUGUUCGCCCAUUAAAGCGGUACGCGAGCUGGGUUCAGAACGUCGUGAGACAGUUCGGUCCCUAUCCUCCGUGGGCGCAGGAGAAUCGAUGGAGGCUGCCCCCAGUACGAGAGGACCGGGGUGGACGCACCUCCGGUGAACCGGUUGUCGACCAACGGCACGGCCGGGUAGCCGCGUGCGGCGCGGAUAACCGCUGAAGGCAUCUAAGCGGGAAGCCGUUCCAGGGAUUAGUUCUCCUUCCGGUAAGGGCCCAGGUAGACUACCUGGUCGAUAGACGGCAGGUGCAAGGACGGCGACGUCCUCAGCCGAGCCGCACUAAUCGCCCGAGCUCUUCCGGA